This is a small nuclear RNA of Loxodonta africana (African savanna elephant), 112 nucleotides long. NCBI's taxonomy places the organism in Eukaryota, Metazoa, Chordata, Mammalia, Proboscidea, Elephantidae. The record is from Ensembl.
GUGCUCGCUUAAAUUCAGCAGCACAUAUACUAAAAUUGGAAUAAUACAGAGAAGACUAGCAUGGCCCGUUCACAAGAAUGGCGCUCAAAUUCAUGAAGUGUUUCAUAUUUUU